Molecule: non-coding RNA, 31 nt
Filed under: Mus musculus (house mouse)
Lineage: Eukaryota; Metazoa; Chordata; Mammalia; Rodentia; Muridae
Source: RNAcentral
UGAAUUGUGGUCUCCCAAGAAGACGGGCUCC